GGAGUCGAGAAUGAAUGGGUUUUCGGGGGUUAACUGUCUCUUUUGGAUUUAGUUGAAAUUUCUAAAAAGGUGCAAAAUCCUUUAAUUCGAAAAAAGACGAGAAGACCCUUAGAGUUUUUAUUAUAAAAAGAUUAAUUCUUUAUCGGUUUUUGCUGGGGCGGCAAAGAGACAAUAAACUCUCUUUUUACAGUUUUUAGAAGACGUGAAUCUAAAGAGACAAUAAACUACCUUAGGGAUAACAGCAUAAUUAAAUUUUAGUUUGUGACCUCGAUGUUGGACUAGGAAAAAUUUUUGGUUAGCCGCCAA
Molecule: ribosomal RNA, 306 nt
Filed under: Peronia peronii
Lineage: Eukaryota; Metazoa; Mollusca; Gastropoda; Systellommatophora; Onchidiidae
Description: partial large subunit ribosomal RNA
Source: RNAcentral